RNAcentral lists this ribosomal RNA (421 nucleotides) under Fusobacteriota bacterium. Its description in RNAcentral is "Fusobacteria bacterium partial 16S ribosomal RNA". It matches the Rfam family "Bacterial small subunit ribosomal RNA", at positions 355 to 776 of the family's 1533-position model. Lineage: Bacteria; Fusobacteriati; Fusobacteriota. The record is from RNAcentral.
UGGGGAAUAUUGCACAAUGGACGGAAGUUUGAUGCAGCGACGCCGCGUGGAGGGUGUAGGCCUUCGGGUUAUGAACUCCUUUUUCUCGCGAAAAAGGCACAGUUUUGGCUGUGUUGAUGGUAGUGGGGGAAGAAGCGCCGGCUAACUACGUGCCAGCAGCCGCGGUAAUACGUAGGGCGCGAGCGUUGUCCGGAUUUAUUGGGCGUAAAGAGCUCGUAGGUGGUUCGUCGCGUCUGUCGUGAAAGCCAGCAGCUUAACUGUUGGUCUGCGGUGGGUACGGGCGGGCUUGAGUGCGGUAGGGGUGACUGGAAUUCCUGGUGUAGCGGUGGAAUGCGCAGAUAUCAGGAGGAACACCGAUGGCGAAGGCAGGUCACUGGGCCGUUACUGACACUGAGGAGCGAAAGCGUGGGGAGCGAACAGG